Molecule: long non-coding RNA, 826 nt
Organism: Pocillopora damicornis (cauliflower coral)
Lineage: Eukaryota; Metazoa; Cnidaria; Anthozoa; Scleractinia; Pocilloporidae
Source: RefSeq, a predicted model, not a curated record
CAUGAUGGAGUUUCCGUGAGCGGUCAGCGGCUGACGUUACUACACGAUUAGUUGCUAGUGUUUACUCUUUUAUUGCUUAGUUGCUGGUCAGUUUGUGAGGCAGAGUGCUCGGAAUGUGGACGUGGAAAAGUCUUGCACGGUGCAUAAACACGGCUACAUCACUCGGCGAAGAACCACUCAUCUAAUUCCUUGAGCAUCAACAGAAACUGAGUUCUUCAUCAGAUGGAGCAUCUAAAGGCAGCCUUGCAUUCCUUCACUGGGAGAUCCAAACCACACUGAGAGUCGUAUGAAGUUAUGGCGGUAGACAGAUGCAGAUUCCUUUUCUUCUAAAUAUUUUUUAAGGACAACAACUUAAAUUUAGCAUCAGGUUAAAGCAGUAUUGGGAGAUUUGGUGACCUAACUUGGUUAACAAGCUCUUUGUACUGUACCAUUUAUAAGUCCCAACUUAACCCUUGGGGCAUUGUGAUGUGGUCCUAGGUGCACUGACUGCAGUAGAGUGUAUGGAUGAUGGGAAACAAUCAUUUUUUGAAGGGCAUGCACAUUUGCACCUUUUCAAAACUAAAUGUUUAUCAGCAUCAUUUUUUGACCUUCCCAACUGAAUAAGAAAUGUCCUCAACAUACUGGGCAUUUUUACUGGGAAAUGUCUGCACUUUCACCUUGUCAUAGCACACAUGUAUGUUGUCAGCACACAAAUUUUACAAAGGUAGGCCCAGUAAAUCAAUAUUUCUAAGUGUUUUGGUGCAGUUAAAGUGACAGUUACAGUAUUUGAACUGUCACAGUGUUAAUUAUUGACUACUUAUGUAGAAUUUCUUUGUACAUGUAUAAG